This 503-nucleotide ribosomal RNA is filed under the name uncultured eukaryote. RNAcentral describes it as "SSU rRNA". It matches the Rfam family "Eukaryotic small subunit ribosomal RNA", at positions 752 to 1265 of the family's 1831-position model. The record is from RNAcentral.
UUACCUUGAGAAAAAACAGAGUGUUCCAGGCAGGUUUGUCCGGGGAUGCAUUAGCAUGGAAAUAGAACAUGACUGAAGUCGAUUUAUUGGUUUAAGGCUUUAGUAAUGAUUAAUAGGAACAGUCGGGGGGCAUUCGUACUCAGCAGUCAGAGGUGAAAUUCUAAGAUUUUGCUGAAGACGAACUAAUGCGAAAGCAUUUGCCAAGGAUGUUUUCAUUAAUCAAGAACGAAAGUUAGGGGAUCAAAGACGAUCAGAUACCGUCCUAGUCUUAACUAUAAACUAUGCCGACUCGGAUUCAGAUGAAUCAAAAUGUUCAUUUGGGACCGUAGGAGAAAUCAAAGUUUUUGGGUUCUGGGGGGAGUAUGGUCGCAAGGCUGAAACUUAAAGGAAUUGACGGUUUUGCACCACCAUGGAGUGGAGUCUGCGGCUUAAUUUGACCCAACACUGGGAACUCAUCAGGGCAAGAAGAUUUUAGGAUUGACAGAUUGAGAGUUCUUUCUUGA